This 336-nucleotide unclassified non-coding RNA is filed under the name soil metagenome. RNAcentral describes it as "partial contains 5.8S ribosomal RNA, internal transcribed spacer 2, and large subunit ribosomal RNA". The stretch from base 2 to 121 matches the Rfam family "5.8S ribosomal RNA", at positions 35 to 154 of the family's 154-position model. The record is from RNAcentral.
GGAUGAAGAACGUAGCGAAAUGCGAUAAGUAGUGUGAAUUGCAGAAUUCAGUGAAUCAUCGAAUCUUUGAACGCACAUUGCGCCCCUUGGUAUUCCAUGGGGCAUGCCUGUUCGAGCGUCAUUUGUACCUUCAAGCUUUGCUUGGUGUUGGGUGUUUGUCUCGCCUUUGCGUGUAGACUCGCCUUAAAAUAAUUGGCAGCCGGCGUAUUGAUUUCGGAGCGCAGUACAUCUCGCGCUUUGCACUCAUAACGACAGCGUCCAAAAGUACAUUUUACACUCUUGACCUCGGAUCAGGUAGGGAUACCCGCUGAACUUAAGCAUAUCAUAAGCGGAGGA